Non-coding RNA from Acanthosepion pharaonis, 104 nucleotides. Lineage: Eukaryota; Metazoa; Mollusca; Cephalopoda; Sepiida; Sepiidae. The record is from the annotation of a GenBank genome assembly.
CUUGCGGCCAUAUCACGUUGAAACUCCAGUUCUCGUGUAAUCACCGAAGUCACGGAAGGUCGAGCCUGGUCAGUAUCUAGAUGGGUGACCGCUUGGGAAUAUCA